RNAcentral lists this ribosomal RNA (849 nucleotides) under human gut metagenome. Its description in RNAcentral is "bacterial SSU rRNA". It matches the Rfam family "Bacterial small subunit ribosomal RNA", at positions 88 to 934 of the family's 1533-position model. The record is from RNAcentral.
AGCGGGAGUGGCGAACGGGUGAGUAAUACAUAAGCAAUCUGCCCAUCGGCCUGGGAUAACAGUUGGAAACGACUGCUAAUACCGGAUAGGUGAUGAAGAGGCAUCUCUUGAUCAUUAAAGUUGGGAUACAACACGGAUGGAUGAGCUUAUGGCGCAUUAGCUAGUUGGUGAGGUAACGGCCCACCUAGGCGAUGAUGCGUAGCCGACCUGAGAGGGUGACCGGCCACAUUGGGACUGAGACACGGCCCAAACUCCUACGGGAGGCAGCAGUAGGGAAUUUUCGGCAAUGGGCGAAAGCCUGACCGAGCAACGCCGCGUGAGUGAAGAAGGCCUUCGGGUUGUAAAGCUCUGUUGUGAAGGAAGAACGGCUCAUACAGGGAAUGGUAUGGGAGUGACGGUACUUUACCAGAAAGCCACGGCUAACUACGUGCCAGCAGCCGCGGUAAUACGUAGGUGGCGAGCGUUAUCCGGAAUUAUUGGGCGUAAAGGGUGCGCAGGCGGUUUUUUAAGUUUAAGGUGAAAGCGUGGGGCUUAACCCCAUAUAGCCUUAGAAACUGAGAGACUAGAGUACAGGAGAGGGCAAUGGAAUUCCAUGUGUAGCGGUAAAAUGCGUAGAUAUAUGGAGGAACACCAGUGGCGAAGGCGGUUGCCUGGCCUGUAACUGACGCUCAUGCACGAAAGCGUGGGGAGCAAAUAGGAUUAGAUACCCUAGUAGUCCACGCCGUAAACGAUGAGUACUAAGUGUUGGGGAAACUCAGUGCUGCAGUUAACGCAAUAAGUUCUCCGCCUGGGGAGUAUGCACGCAAGUGUGAAACUCAAAGGAAUUGACGGGGGCCCGCACAAGCGGUG